RNAcentral lists this transfer RNA (85 nucleotides) under Felis catus (domestic cat). It matches the Rfam family "tRNA". From Rfam's summary of the family: Transfer RNA (tRNA) molecules are approximately 80 nucleotides in length. Their secondary structure includes four short double-helical elements and three loops (D, anti-codon, and T loops). The record is from Rfam by way of RNAcentral. Lineage: Eukaryota; Metazoa; Chordata; Mammalia; Carnivora; Felidae.
GCCUGAGUGGCUUAGUCGGUUAAGCUUCCCACUUCGGCUCAGGUCAUGAUCUUGCGGCUCAUGGGUUCAAGCCCCACCUCGGGCU